AGGGGCGUAGCUCAGUUGGUUUAGAGCGUUUGAGUCACAUUCAAAAGGUCGUCGGUUCGAAUCCGACCGUCCCUACCA
This 78-nucleotide transfer RNA is filed under the name Bacteroidales bacterium. RNAcentral describes it as "tRNA-Val". It matches the Rfam family "tRNA". From Rfam's summary of the family: Transfer RNA (tRNA) molecules are approximately 80 nucleotides in length. The record is from RNAcentral. Lineage: Bacteria; Pseudomonadati; Bacteroidota; Bacteroidia; Bacteroidales.